CAUAUUUAUUUCCCGUUCGAAAGAGAAUCCCUCUUCCCGCACCUCUAAGCGGAGCACCCCUUCGAGCCCAAGCCGUGGUCAGUAUCCUAAUUAACCUGCCGCUUCUUGGAUUAUUAAUUAGUGAGACAGGAUCAAUGGAGUUCGUAGUAUACUUUGAGUUUAUUUUACUGGCUGGAGAAAGAACAAGAGCCCUUUCUUGGAGGGGCGUUCACGUGGAUGACCGAACUGAGUCCUCUUCUUUUUUGUAUCUUGAAGUACAAAUAUGGUUUGAUUUGAUAGUAUAUCAUAAUAUAAAUUGUUAAGAUUCUGAGUCUAUAAUCUAUAGACAGUUACAGUAGUUAUGGUCAAUUAAUCGCUCCCCUGAUUUUUGUACAUUAUUCUCACACAAAAAAUAUUGUUUGUUCCUCUCUUUUUUCAAGUUCACGCGUUGUACUGGAGAUUACUGUAAGACACAAGCAGAGAGGAUGAUGUGGUAGUCAAGUUCUUCGUGGAAACCUUGCCUUAGUUGAUCUUGCGGGCACUGAGCAAGCCUCUGAAAUGAAUAAUUUUGGCCAAAAGCUCAAUUCGAUCUUGCUGUUCUGUGGCUCAAAGGUUGUUGACUACCGUUGGCACUGCCCAGUUAAGUCUAUCAGGUUCCACUGAUCAUAUAUUUCUUUGGGGGCAUUUUAGGCUCCUUUCAAGGAAGAACGGUUAAAAUGGGAUUAGGACGAUCUUCGAAAGCGCUAACAGGUAAGCAUGUUUCUGGUGUACCUGGUGCUACAGAGUAAAAUUAGGCAUGCACCAACUGUUAGCUUCUUUCAUUUUUCAAUUCUUCAGGCCAGUAAACUCUGGUAUAAUGAACUGGUCACACAAGUUCCUGAGUCAGCGUUUGUUAGAAGGUUUUGGUUCCUCAAGGUCGGGUCUGCACCCUCGCACACAUCUGCACCUCCGUGGACUGCAACUCCACCUAGGCCGCUGCUACAUGUCACCACUAUCACAGGGCAGGACAAGGUCUUUGCAGUAGCUUGGAUGUGUCAUCGAUCUCCCGAGCGCGAUUCCAUGACUAGCUUGUGGUGGUGGGUAAUUUAGUGCAACUCUGCCUGCUCAUAUCUGGAGUAUGAUAAGAAUUUGGUGAUUUUGUGCAGUACUUUAGCUUGUUGUAGACUUUUAGAUAUAUGUAGCAAAAGCAAGUAGGGCAUGUAAUUUUUGUAGCUUUUAUUAUGAUACAUCUUUUAAACAUGUGCUUUGUUGUACUUAUUAUUAGCAACCGUAGCAAGAACGGUUGCUGAUCUCUGUUGGACACACCCGGAUGGAGAUUUCGAUAUUUGCAUCAGAUAUCUGUAUUUAUUUUAAUUCUGCUUGCUCUGAUUAAAAUAGAAAAUACCAUCGUUAUCUUAUACAUUGUUCUGUUAGGAUUGAAUACAACAAGACACGUGCCCAUUUCCGCUAUUGUACCCUUGAAUAAAAUGGUAAAUACUGCAGUUAUCAUAUACAAUCUCUCGGGAAUGAAUACCACAAGCGCAUUUUUGUUAAUAUCUCCUGCUUCCUGAUGUAUUUGUUUCUUGGUAAAAGCGAACUUCCAAUGAAUAUUUUUGUGCUGGAGCAGGCUACAAGGUAUGUAUUCGGCUGUGCAUAUUUAAUUUUAGUAUCUGGUGGAGAUGCCCUGUUCAAGGAGAGGGAGGGUGUGUAAACUUUGUGAAAUCCUUUCCUAUUGAUGACUUUGCAAACUUAUCAGGAGGCGGUGUUAAGAAAUCUAAACAGUUUAUGAACUAUAUAGGAAGACAUUUAUAGGUUAUAAAUAGUCAGUUCUACUUCUGCAGAUUUUCUAAAUAAGUGACGAAGUUUAGUUAGUAUUUUUUUUCCUGUCACUUCCUUAUCUAGCAAAAUUGCGAACCCAUGGUAUGAGCCACUAUUGCAAGCAUUAUCAUUAUGUUCUAAGGGAAACAUCAACUUUCCAAAGACAAUAUCCCAAACUGGACAGUUGAUACAUGGAACCAUUUUACUUUAAUAUUUAAAGUAUGGCUGCAAAUCUGGGAUGCAAGAGGUGAAAAUUCAUUGUCUACUCAGUUUCUCAGUUUUCCUCUUUCAGAAGCAAGAGAUUUUUCAAGACCUUGAUCCACUGCUGUGGCACUCCUUUGGCACCGUUGCUGCACUGCUCCAGGAGAUUGUGUCAAUCUACCCUUCACUUUCAUCUCCUACUUUGUUGCCAGUUGCAUCAAACCGUGUCUGCAAUGCACUUGCACUUCUUUAGUGUGUUGCUUCACACCUUGAGACUAGGAUCUCGUUCUUGAAUGCUCACAUCCCACUGUACCUGUACCCGUUCCUAAAUACUACCAGCAAGACCAGACCUUUUGAGUACUUGAGGCUUACCAGCUUGGGUGUUGUUGGUGCUCUUGUGAAGGUUGACGAUUCUGAAGUUAUUGGACACAAGCAGCUGCUUGAAAGGACAUCUAGAAAAAAGGUUUGUCAGGCACAAUAAAGAUUUGAAUGUUUGAAUCAUAUCAGCAACAACUUGGAGGUGCUUAUUUUCUCCAUGGGGUCUUUCGGAAGCUUAAAAAUAACACAACAAAGGAAUCAAUGGUUCCGAUAUUACACCAGAACUUUAGCUUUCUCGGGCAUGUGACGAUGGCUUCCAUGGAAAAAAUCAUCAGAGUGACUGUCGAUGACCUUCAGGUAUAUCAGCGUCAAAUGACAAAAGAAUGCCUCCAGAAAGUUUGUUCAUCAGGCACAAGCGAACGACAAAAUGCAGGAUCAAUGGAAUUCUCUUUCAACAGAAGAUCUGCAUGAUCUUUUUACUCUUCAUGAACAAGUCAGUGCGAGAGAAAGUUGCAUGCUAUAUGAGUGUUAAACGCCAUCGAGCGAUCUGAACAGAGCCGUGGCUCGAGUCGUUUUCGCUGUCCUGGUCCAUGGGUCAGGAUUGAUGCUUUCCGGUAACUCCGACAGUAGCCGAGUAAACGCAAGCAUGGGUCGCUGGGAGCAGCUGUCUCCUACCUCUCGAGCCUGGAUCCAUCUUUUAUCGAGAGCGGCAGCCUCGGCGAGCCACCGUCUGUGAGAAGGGACCUACGGAUACCCGUGAAGAUGGGGUUCCUGCUGCAGCCGAUUAACAGACGCACCAUGAGGGAAGCAGUGUGGACGGCCAAAUCUGUGCGGCAGAAGUGGGGGCAGAGGCAGCGAUUGGGAAUUCCGCUCAGUCAUCUGAUUAAUCCAUAGAACAGAUCGAUCCCAAAUUGCCUGGAUAGACUAGAAGGUAUUCAUGUGGUAUAACUAUCACGUGUCUGAUCAUAUUCCUGUGGUACCCUGCAACUCAUGUGCUUGUGUUGAACAUUACAUGUGCUUAAGAUUUAUUAAACCAUGGAAUAGAUAUGGAAAAUUAGCAUAGAAAUAUAGAUACUGUUUAGGCCUUGUGUACUUAUGUUCAGAUUGAAAAAUUCAUGUAUCAUGUCCUUCUGUAAGAAACUUUCUAAUCCAAAUGAUUGGAGUGCUAUCGUUUGGCCAUACAAAAGCAUAGAGGAAUUGUAAGUAAUGUGGUCGAUGCUCGAUAGUAUCAGGUUCGUGUGAGG
Molecule: non-coding RNA, 3539 nt
Organism: Aegilops tauschii subsp. strangulata
Lineage: Eukaryota; Viridiplantae; Streptophyta; Magnoliopsida; Poales; Poaceae
Source: RefSeq, a predicted model, not a curated record